Long non-coding RNA from Heterocephalus glaber (naked mole-rat), 1526 nucleotides. The record is from Ensembl. NCBI's taxonomy places the organism in Eukaryota, Metazoa, Chordata, Mammalia, Rodentia, Bathyergidae.
GUGGCAUCAAACACAGAUGUAAGCUCAGUACAAAAGGUGACAUAAGAUGCCGUCUAAUGAACGUUGGACUAGUCCUCAAUGAUGAGAUGGGAGCUUAAAGGGAGUGAGAUCUCCUACGUGCUGAGAGUAGGAGAAGAAUUCAUGAAGUGUGACCUUGAUUGGGGUGGCAGCACCUGAAGAGGAGAGGACAGGUAGUGGGGAGCCACGUUGUUUUGCAAAGAUCACUGGGAAAACUGUGGACUGGAGAAGGAGGAGGCUCAAGCCAGAGAGACCCCAGCAGAGGCUGUUAGAAAUAUUUGUGUUUGAAGGAGAUUAUCGACAGGAGGGAUAGAGAAGAGGAUCCACUGCAGAGGUUAAGUGUAACGGCCCAGGCCUCUGGAGGGAGGAGGUGAAAUGGGUCCGGGCCCUUCUCUCUGUGCGGAUGAUAUCUUCUUCCUUGAGGUCAGGGACACAGAGGGCGUGUGCGCUUGAUGUCGAGUUGAGGUAAGGCGAUGAAAUAAUUUAUGAUCUGAACCAAGACACUUCUGAGAGUGAAAGAGACACUAUCAAUAUUGAACUUGGCCACCAUAAGGUCCCCCUUGGUUGAGCUCCCUCUAGUCUAUGGAGCUUUCUUAGUUGGAAAAUUAUUUUAGAGCCCGUGGAGGGUUGGGCAUGUGGGCGUUGAGGCUGUUUCUGUUCAAAACUUUUCUCGCCCACCAGUUACAAGCUGAAGAAAGGCAGGCAAGAGAAGCCAGGGCUGGGGCUGUAGCUCAGUGGCAGAGUGCUUGCCCUGCAUGUACCAGGCCUUGGGUUCAAUCCCCAGCACCUCAAGCAAAGAAAGAUUGUUACAUCCACUGAGAGUGUGGCUUCUGGGCUUGUCACUCUGAGGGCAUUUCAGGUAUGGAAUUCCCCAGAAGGACCCCCCCCCCGCCCCCGCCAUCCUCCAAGAGUAGAGAAACCUGAGGAGUUGCUGGGGAUUUGGAGCAGAUUUUCUAAUGUCUGCUCACAUGGUUGCUGGUGAGCAGCUCCCCUGGGCGACGGCAGCUUUCUUCCCUGGAAGGCCAGCAGGACAGUGCCAGGACACUCAGGGACAGGCCCAGUGCUGCUGGAUCUCCCUUCCCCUCAGGCCUUACUCCAGUGAGGUACACUCCAGUCUGGGACUACGAGAGAAUGAGUGAUCCUGAAACCUCGAGACGAACAGCAAAGAAACCACAGGACUCCCUGACAGCCACCUGAAAGACGCCAUCUUUUCCGGCUGAGACGCCUGGUCACUCAUAGAUGCUAAGAAGUCCUGUGCCCUUUCUCCACCUGGCCUGAGCCUUCCCUGACCUCACCCCCAGGCUUUCCUCUCUCUGGCCCGACUGUUCUGUGGGUCAGUCUUGCCCUGGUCUCUUUGGGGUGAGGGCUUCUCCCUAUCCAUCACGGUGACUGUCCUAAGCCUGAGGACGCAGGAGACAGUGAAUUAAUACCCAACACUGAUCUCACUUGCUUCUGGGAAUAGCCUGAUUUCUGCCCCGCGUGGGCUAUUUACAGUGUUUCUCACCAAU